This 396-nucleotide ribosomal RNA is filed under the name uncultured bacterium. RNAcentral's name for it is "partial 16S ribosomal RNA". It matches the Rfam family "Bacterial small subunit ribosomal RNA", at positions 360 to 774 of the family's 1533-position model. The record is from RNAcentral.
AAUAUUGCACAAUGGAGGAAACUCUGAUGCAGCGACGCCGCGUGAGCGAUGAAGGUUNNNGGAUCNUCAAGCUCUGUCCUAGGNGACNAUAAUGACGGUACCCUAGGAGGAAGCCCCGGCUAACUACGUGCCAGCAGCCGCGGUAAUACGUAGGGGGCGAGCGUUGUCCGGAUUUAUUGGGCGUAAAGGGUACGCAGGCGGCCAUGUAAGUCAGAUGUGAAAGAUCACGGCUCAACCGUGGUAAGCAUUUGAAACUGCUUGGCUUGAGUUAAGGAGAGGAAAGUGGAAUUCCUGGUGUAGCGGUGAAAUGCGUAGAUAUCAGGAGGAAUAUCAGUGGCGAAGGCGACUUUCUGGACUUAUACUGACGCUGAGGUACGAAAGCGCGGGGAGCAAACA